CCUACGGGCGGCUGCAGUGGGGAAUAUUGCACAAUGGGGGAAACCCUGAUGCAGCGACGCCGCGUGAGUGAAGAAGUAUUUCGGUAUGUAAAGCUCUAUCAGCAGGGAAGAUAAUGGCGGUACCUGACUAAUAAGCCCCGGCUAACUACGUGCCAGCAGCCGCGGUAAUACGUAGGGGGCAAGCGUUAUCCGGAUUUACUGGGUGUAAAGGGAGCGUAGACGGCAGCACAAGUCUGGAGUGAAAUGCCGGGGCUUAACCCCGGAACUGCUUUGGAAACUGUGCAGCUAGAGUGCAGGAGAGGUAAGUGGAAUUCCUAGUGUAGCGGUGAAAUGCGUAGAUAUUAGGAGGAACACCAGUGGCGAAGGCGGCUUACUGGACUGUAACUGACGUUGAGGCUCGAAAGCGUGGGGAGCAAACAGGAUUAGAUACCCCUGUAGUC
RNAcentral lists this ribosomal RNA (440 nucleotides) under uncultured bacterium. Its description in RNAcentral is "partial 16S ribosomal RNA". It matches the Rfam family "Bacterial small subunit ribosomal RNA", at positions 338 to 795 of the family's 1533-position model. The record is from RNAcentral.